Molecule: ribosomal RNA, 490 nt
Filed under: uncultured bacterium
Lineage: Bacteria
Description: partial 16S ribosomal RNA
Rfam family: Bacterial small subunit ribosomal RNA
Source: RNAcentral
AGUGAACGCUGGCGGCAGGCCUAACACAUGCAAGUCGAACGGCAGCACAAGAGAGCUUGCUCUCUGGGUGGCGAGUGGCGGACGGGUGAGGAGUGCAUCGGAAUCUGCCCAUUUGUGGGGGAUAACCUCGGGAAACCGGGACUAAUACCGCAUACGACCUACGGGUGAAAGCAGGGGAUCUUCGGACCUUGCGCAGAUGGAUGAGCCGAUGCCGGAUUAGCUAGUUGGAGGGGUAAAGGCCCACCAAGGCGACGAUCCGUAGCUGGUCUGAGAGGAUGAUCAGCCACACUGGGACUGAGACACGGCCCAGACUCCUGCGGGAGGCAGCAGUGGGGAAUAUUGGACAAUGGGCGCAAGCCUGAUCCAGCCAUGCCGCGUGUGUGAAGAAGGCCUUCGGGUUGUAAAGCACUUUUGUUGGGAAAGAAAAGCAGCCGGUUAAUACCCGGUUGUCAUGACGGUACCCAAAGAAUAAGCACCGGCUAACUUCGUG